Molecule: long non-coding RNA, 347 nt
Organism: Erpetoichthys calabaricus (reedfish)
Lineage: Eukaryota; Metazoa; Chordata; Cladistia; Polypteriformes; Polypteridae
Exons: 2
Source: RefSeq, a predicted model, not a curated record
GAGGGUGAACUAGCUUAACUAGGCUUGUCAGACUAGGGAAUCUGAAGAAGGAGGACAUUGCUGGUGAUUAAGCAGGGCUUCAUCUUUUAAAAAUAAAAGAUAGCAUUAACUAUAUUUCACCAGAAAAAAACAGUUGCUUGGAGGAGCAGUGCAAAAUCUUAAAGGAAUGAAGGUUGAAGCAAGAUUAUUGUGCCAAACCAGUAAAAAGAAUUGUCAGUCACAGUGAUUGCAAUACAAUGGCAUUCCAUAGUGUAUUAAUGUGUCUGUGUUCAUUGAUGGAACCACAAUCCAGUGUACAGUAACUUGAAAGAAGAUGGCGACUAGAAAACCUUUUGAAUUAUUUUUUU